Molecule: ribosomal RNA, 462 nt
Filed under: Streptococcus mitis
Lineage: Bacteria; Bacillati; Bacillota; Bacilli; Lactobacillales; Streptococcaceae
Description: bacterial SSU rRNA
Rfam family: Bacterial small subunit ribosomal RNA
Source: RNAcentral
GACGAACGCUGGCGGCGUGCCUAAUACAUGCAAGUAGAACGCUGAAGGAGGAGCUUGCUUCUCUGGAUGAGUUGCGAACGGGUGAGUAACGCGUAGGUAACCUGCCUGGUAGCGGGGGAUAACUAUUGGAAACGAUAGCUAAUACCGCAUAAUAGUAGAUGUUGCAUGACAUUUACUUAAAAGGUGCAAUUGCAUCACUACCAGAUGGACCUGCGUUGUAUUAGCUAGUUGGUGGGGUAACGGCUCACCAAGGCGACGAUACAUAGCCGACCUGAGAGGGUGAUCGGCCACACUGGGACUGAGACACGGCCCGGACUCCUACGGGAGGCAGCAGUAGGGAAUCUUCGGCAAUGGACGGAAGUCUGACCGAGCAACGCCGCGUGAGUGAAGAAGGUUUUCGGAUCGUAAAGCUCUGUUGUAAGAGAAGAACGAGUGUGAGAGUGGAAAGUUCACACUGUGACG